CUAGUUUCAGAUUGUUCGAGUGUCAAAAGCAUUGUUUUCUUCAUUUUGUUGAUAGAUCUGGGGGUUCUGUUGGGAAAUGGAAGAUAUCCUUAAAAAAACAGCACCACCUACAAUAAUAACGUGCAACAUCUCUUCCUGGAAUGCAUUCUGUCAUUGUUCUCCUAGUGGAUGUCAGGAUCUUCCUGUUCAAGAAGCAGCUCCAGGCAUAUCAUUUACUAAGAGACAAAGUGAAGAAGAGGAAAGAAGGGGAAUAAAAAAAGGUAAAACUAUGUCUAAAUAAGUGAAAUUCAUUCCAUGAUUUUAAUUGAAAUUAGGAUGUUGUUCUCAUAAUACAUUUUCCUAAUUUGAAAUGAUCAUUUACCCAUUAGUACUAUUCAUAAUAUUUACUUCUGAAGCAAUAAAUCAAGUUAGGUUGAAAUUUAAUUGCUUUAA
Molecule: long non-coding RNA, 432 nt
Filed under: Phascolarctos cinereus (koala)
Lineage: Eukaryota; Metazoa; Chordata; Mammalia; Diprotodontia; Phascolarctidae
Description: lncRNA (ENSPCIG00000035403.1)
Source: RNAcentral